RNAcentral lists this ribosomal RNA (253 nucleotides) under uncultured bacterium. RNAcentral's name for it is "partial 16S ribosomal RNA". It matches the Rfam family "Bacterial small subunit ribosomal RNA", at positions 524 to 776 of the family's 1533-position model. The record is from RNAcentral.
UACGUAGGGGCCAAGCGUUGUCCGGAUUUAUUGGGCGUAAAGAGCUCGUAGGCGGUCUGUUGCGUCGGCUGUGAAAACCCGGGGCUCAACUCCGGGCCUGCAGCCGAUACGGGCAGACUAGAGUUCGGCAGGGGAGACUGGAAUUCCUGGUGUAGCGGUGAAAUGCGCAGAUAUCAGGAGGAACACCGGUGGCGAAGGCGGGUCUCUGGGCCGAUACUGACGCUGAGGAGCGAGAGCGUGGGGAGCGAACAGG